AACGAACGCUGGCGGCAUGCCUAACACAUGCAAGUCGAACGAGACCUUCGGGUCUAGUGGCGCACGGGUGCGUAACGCGUGGGAACCUGCCCUUAGGUUCGGAAUAACUCCCCGAAAGGGGUGCUAAUACCGGAUAAUGUCUUCGGACCAAAGAUUUAUCGCCUUUGGAUGGGCCCGCGUUGGAUUAGCUAGUUGGUAGGGUAAAAGCCUACCAAGGCGACGAUCCAUAGCUGGUCUGAGAGGAUGAUCAGCCACACUGGGACUGAGACACGGCCCAGACUCCUACGGGAGGCAGCAGUGGGGAAUAUUGGACAAUGGGCGAAAGCCUGAUCCAGCAAUGCCGCGUGAGUGAUGAAGUCCUUAGGGUUGUAAAGCUCUUUUACCCGGGAUGAUAAUGACAGUACCGGGAGAAUAAGCUCCGGCUAACUCCGUG
RNAcentral lists this ribosomal RNA (433 nucleotides) under uncultured bacterium. Its description in RNAcentral is "partial 16S ribosomal RNA". It matches the Rfam family "Bacterial small subunit ribosomal RNA", at positions 29 to 507 of the family's 1533-position model. The record is from RNAcentral.